This is a small nuclear RNA of Oryctolagus cuniculus (rabbit), 91 nucleotides long. Its record names the gene U2. It matches the Rfam family "U2 spliceosomal RNA". From Rfam's summary of the family: U2 is a small nuclear RNA (snRNA) component of the spliceosome (involved in pre-mRNA splicing). The record is from Ensembl. Lineage: Eukaryota; Metazoa; Chordata; Mammalia; Lagomorpha; Leporidae.
GUCAUUUUUCAGCCUUUUGGCUAAGAUCAAGUGUAGUAUCUGUUCUAUUCAAUUUAAUAAAAUAUAUUAUAUAUUAAAUUGUGUAUAUAUA